Non-coding RNA from Nicotiana tabacum (common tobacco), 1635 nucleotides. The record is from RefSeq and is a predicted model, not a curated record. Lineage: Eukaryota; Viridiplantae; Streptophyta; Magnoliopsida; Solanales; Solanaceae.
CCUCUGUUAACUUUGGCUCUAUUUCUCUCUGUCCCCUCUCUUUGUUCAGGCGAACUCAUCGGAGAUUUCAUUAUUAACUGCAGCAAACCCAACCCUUCAGGCUGCUGCCUCAAUCUUCUCGUCAUCCUCCACCUCCGGCAAAGUUCAACAAUCCCCGCUUGUUGGCUUCCUGUAUUCAUCAGCUCAGUACGUUUUGAUGGGGUAGCAAGGUGCAAGCGAAGGCAAAAUGCAAACUGAAAGUGCUUUGUCAGUUAUUGGACCAAGGCCAAUGGGGUUGUCUGCUGUGCCUCCUAGCUGUCCUCAAGGGCUUGGACCAAAUGGAAAACCACGGACAUCAAGCUUGGAGUCACCAAUUAUGUUGCUUACUGGACAUCAAAGUGCUGUGUAUACCAUGAAGUUCAAUCCAGCAGGGACAACCAUUGCAUCUGGUUCACAUGAUAAAGAAAUCUUUCUUUGGGAUGUACAUGGUGAUUGCAAGAAUUUUAUGGUCUUGAAAGGGCACAAAAAUGCAGUUCUUGAUGUUCAAUGGACUACUGAUGGAUCGACAAUAGUAUCAGCCAGCCCCGAUAAGACUGUUAGGGCGUGGGAUGUAGAAACAGGCAAACAGAUUAAAAAAAUGGCCGAACAUUCCUCAUUUGUGAAUUCAUGCUGCCCAGCUCGGAGGGGCCCUCCACUUAUUGUCAGUGGAUCUGAUGAUGGCACUGCUAAACUUUGGGAUAUGCGCCAAAGAGGAGCCAUACAGACAUUUCCAGACAAAUUUCAAAUUACUGCCGUCAGUUUCUCUGAUGCCUCCGAUAAAAUCUACUCAGGUGGUAUUGACAAUGAUGUGAAAGUGUGGGAUUUGCGAAGGUGUGAAGUAACUAUGACUCUUCAGGGCCAUCAGGAUACUAUAACUGGUAUGCAGCUGAGUCCUGAUGGGUCUUAUCUUCUUACUAAUGCCAUGGACUGCACACUUCGCAUAUGGGACAUGCGUCCGUAUGCCCCCCAAAAUCGCUGUGUUAAGAUCUUGGAAGGCCACCAACACAAUUUUGAAAAGAACCUGAUGAAAUGUAGCUGGUCACCUGAUGGAAGUAAGGUAACAGCUGGGAGUUCUGAUCGCAUGGUUUAUAUCUGGGAUACGACAUCUAGGCGCAUUCUGUAUAAGCUCCCUGGACACACUGGAUCUGUUAAUGAAUGUGUUUUUCAUCCUAAUGAACCAAUUGUGGGAUCUUGCAGUAGUGAUAGACAGAUGUAUCUUGGUGAGAUUUGAAUAGGAGGUACUACCUUUUCUGAUAUGAGGAAGCUACCAGCAGGUUUGGGAACUAGGUGUGGAUUCAUGAAGUUGUAGUUAAAAUUUGUAACCUUCUGUUGCCUAUGGGUGGAACUUUGAAACUGCAAAACAGUGAUAUGCUUGCUUAAUUUUGAUUACCUGAUAGAUGUUAUUGUAAAACUAUGCUGGAUGUUUUGCCUUGUAGACAAGAAGAAGUUCUAGAUGUGAGAUUGUAAGUUUCGGGGAUUCAAGACACUGCUUUAGUUAGGUAUAAAAAAAAAAAAUACAUUUGUAGAUUGUGGCGAUCAGUGAACAGUUGACAUUUAUUGGUUUUACUGUCGACUUUGAAAGAAGCAAAAUGGAGAAGCUGAAGUUAACAGUUUGAA